GCAGGAAGAGCCAAUACUACACA
This 23-nucleotide non-coding RNA is filed under the name Arabidopsis thaliana (thale cress). Lineage: Eukaryota; Viridiplantae; Streptophyta; Magnoliopsida; Brassicales; Brassicaceae. The record is from RNAcentral.